AAUUUUGGACAAUGGGUGAAACCCUGAUCCAGCCAUCCCGCGUGUAUGAUGAAGGCCUGCGGUCUGUAAAGUACUUUCGGCAGAGAAGAAAAGGUACCUCCUAAUACGAGGUACGGCUGACGGUAUCUGCAGAUUAAGCACCGGCUAACUACGUGCCAGCAGCCGCGGUAAUACGUAGGGUGCAAGCGUUAAUCGGAAUUACUGGGCGGAAAGCGUGUGUAGGCGGUUCGGAAAGAAAGAUGUGAAAACCCAGGGCUCAACCUUGGAACUGCAUUUGUAACUGCCGAGCUAGAGUAUGUCAGAGGGGGGUAGAAUUCCACGUGUAGCAGUGAAAUGCGUAGAUAUGUGGAGGAAUACCGAUGGCGAAGGCAGCCCCCUGGGAUAAUACUGACGCUCAGACACGAAAGCGUGGGGAGCAAACAG
Molecule: ribosomal RNA, 423 nt
Filed under: uncultured bacterium
Lineage: Bacteria
Description: partial 16S ribosomal RNA
Rfam family: Bacterial small subunit ribosomal RNA
Source: RNAcentral